UCCGGAUCCGUNCGACAGAGUUUGAUCGUGGCUCAGAUUGAACGCUGGCGGCAGGCCUAACACAUGCAAGUCGAACGGUAGCACAAAGGAGCUUGCUCCUUGGGUGACGAGUGGCGGACGGGUGAGUAAUGUCUGGGAAACUGCCCGAUGGAGGGGGAUAACUACUGGAAACGGUAGCUAAUACCGCAUAACGUCGCAAGACCAAAGAGGGGGACCUUCGGGCCUCUUGCCAUCGGAUGUGCCCAGAUGGGAUUAGCUAGUAGGUGGGGUAACGGCUCACCUAGGCGACGAUCCCUAGCUGGUCUGAGAGGAUGACCAGCCACACUGGAACUGAGACACGGUCCAGACUCCUACGGGAGGCAGCAGUGGGGAAUAUUGCACAAUGGGCGCAAGCCUGAUGCAGCCAUGCCGCGUGUAUGAAGAAGGCCUUCGGGUUGUAAAGUACUUUCAGCGAGGAGGAA
RNAcentral lists this ribosomal RNA (461 nucleotides) under Citrobacter pasteurii. Its description in RNAcentral is "bacterial SSU rRNA". It matches the Rfam family "Bacterial small subunit ribosomal RNA", at positions 1 to 449 of the family's 1533-position model. Lineage: Bacteria; Pseudomonadati; Pseudomonadota; Gammaproteobacteria; Enterobacterales; Enterobacteriaceae. The record is from RNAcentral.